UACAGAGGGUGCGAGCGUUAAUCGGAAUUACUGGGCGUAAAGCGCUCGUAGGCGGCUUUGUAAGUCGGUUGUGAAAUCCCCGGGCUUAACCUGGGAACUGCAUCCGAGACUGCAUAGCUAGAGUAUGGGAGAGGGAAGUGGAAUUUCAGGUGUAGCGGUGAAAUGCGUAGAUAUCUGAAGGAACAUCAGUGGCGAAAGCGACUUCCUGGACCAAUACUGACGCUCAUGUGCGAAAGCAUGGGUAGCGAACGGG
Molecule: unclassified non-coding RNA, 253 nt
Filed under: uncultured Gammaproteobacteria bacterium
Lineage: Bacteria; Pseudomonadati; Pseudomonadota; Gammaproteobacteria
Description: contains 16S-23S intergenic spacer region
Rfam family: Bacterial small subunit ribosomal RNA
Source: RNAcentral